This 1813-nucleotide ribosomal RNA is filed under the name Triticum aestivum (bread wheat). RNAcentral describes it as "partial small subunit ribosomal RNA". Lineage: Eukaryota; Viridiplantae; Streptophyta; Magnoliopsida; Poales; Poaceae. The record is from RNAcentral.
GUCGGCAGUACAUGGAAAUAUAUUACACCACACAUUAUUCUGGAAUACAAAGUACUUGACAGAAUACAGUACUAAUGUUUUGCGAGAGAAAAUUAAUCUCAAUCGCAAUGAGAUUAUAUUGCGAGAAAAAUAUAUAUUUCUCAAUCGCAAAUCAACAUUGUUGUGCGAGAAAACUUAAUCUCAAUCGUAAAACAAUGUCAUUGUAUCGGUAAAGAAUAUUUUAUAGAUCAAGCAAAUAACAGCCACAUAUUUCUGGAAUUUUUAAAACUCUACAGAAAAUGAACUAAAUGCAGAUCUAUACAUGGCCUUACAAGUGUUAAUCAAUAACACUAGUAGUUGGACCAAGUUUGUUCAAAAAAAAAAACAAGCUGCAAUAAUCUGAAGCAGAAUCACCAGAGAAAUCAGCUUGGCCUAUUCGACCAAUACUUCAAACAUCAGGUGUCUGAUGCAAAAUAGGGAAGAGAUAAGGUUUCCCUUUUUCUUCGUUGGUGUGGUCCUGUGGAUACGAAUCGAUUGAUUCUAUCGUUUGCUUCAGUUCAACACAGAGACCACCACCACAGGUGCAUCCGUGCAGGCGUUCUGCAUCAGUUGCCGGGAGCCGCGUCGUGCGCUGCCUCGCCUUCAUCGGCGGCCUUCGUCGUCACCGGGACGUAGAAGAUGCGGAUGCAGCGCACCGAGGAGCCUCUGCGGGCUCUGCCGUGAGCCGCGGCAGGGAGGGCGUCGCCUGCCUAGUGGUUGAGGCCGGGCCUCACCUUGUACGGGCACCGAGCCUCAGAGGGCGUACAUCAGUGCCGGGCAGACCGCUUCAGGUAGCCGGCCUUUUAACGGCGUCGCUGGGCACUGCUUCCGCGCCGGGAGGGAGCCGCUGCUGUCGCGCACCGCCGUGGGAGGCCGGUGAGGGCUGCGCCAUGGCGAGAGCCGCAUCGCGCGCUCCAGAGGGAGGCCACGACCAGGGCUGCUUCCGCCAUGGGCGGACGAGGGGAGCCGCGCCACGCACGAGUCGCCGCGGGUCGGGCAACACGCCACGCCGUGGAUGGCCAUGGUUGUUGGCCGCCGUCAGCCAACAGCCGCGCGCGAGGGGCCUCGCCGGGCGCAACAGUGGCGCUGAGGGCCGCCGGGAGAAGAAGCCUUCGGCGCCCCGCAACCGCCUCCCGUCGCUUUCUUUUCGUUCUGGCCCAACUCGCUCGCCCAGUAGCGCGGCCUGGCGCGGUUCCGGCCACGGCUUGGCGCGGGUGGGCGCGGCCACGGCCGGUCGGGGACCGGCCUAGCGCAGGGCGGGCGCUCGCAAGGGCGGCCACGGCCUGGCGCUGCUAGCCAUGGCGCAGGCGGGCGCGGCCACCGCUUGGCGCAGGGGCCCGACGAUGGGCGGUCGAGCGGAGUGAGGCGGCGACCGCGAGGACCCCGCGCCGGCGACGAGGUCGCGAACGAAGAGGACGAGGCCUAGGCUGCGUCUUCACCACUGAGGGGAGAUUCUUUGGCGUCCAUUCGCUCGAUGGAGAGCAACGUGGCUGAUAACGUGUUGAAUUGUAAAUGAGAGAACGAGAGACAAUCGAAUAAAUGAUUGAACUGUCAAUUCCAUUGAAUGAUUCUCGGUAUAUAUAAAGGGGAACAGGCACGAUCCAGAGAUGCGACUGUUCGUAGAGGUGCAAGGGGAGAGGCGCGACGGUUGACAAUGCAACCGACGUACAGAUUACAAUGGGAGAAUUAUCUCUUUAAUUAACGUAUUAAUUUAAUCCUAAUAGUAUUAACUAUUUCUUUGCAUCAUUCAUUUGUAAUGCAAGCAGUUGUAGCUCUAAAUGGUGCAUGAAAAAUA